Molecule: ribosomal RNA, 465 nt
Filed under: Vreelandella stevensii
Lineage: Bacteria; Pseudomonadati; Pseudomonadota; Gammaproteobacteria; Oceanospirillales; Halomonadaceae
Description: partial 16S ribosomal RNA
Rfam family: Bacterial small subunit ribosomal RNA
Source: RNAcentral
CCUACGGGCGGCAGCAGUGGGGAAUAUUGGACAAUGGGCGAAAGCCUGAUCCAGCCAUGCCGCGUGUGUGAAGAAGGCCUUCGGGUUGUAAAGCACUUUCAGUGGGGAAGAAAGCCUUGGGGCUAAUACCCUCGAGGAAGGACAUCACCCACAGAAGAAGCACCGGCUAACUCCGUGCCAGCAGCCGCGGUAAUACGGAGGGUGCGAGCGUUAAUCGGAAUUACUGGGCGUAAAGCGCGCGUAGGCGGUCUGAUAAGCCGGUUGUGAAAGCCCCGGGCUCAACCUGGGAACGGCAUCCGGAACUGUCAGGCUAGAGUGCAAGAGAGGAAGGUAGAAUUCCCGGUGUAGCGGUGAAAUGCGUAGAGAUCGGGAGGAAUACCAGUGGCGAAGGCGGCCUUCUGGACUGACACUGACGCUGAGGUGCGAAAGCGUGGGUAGCAAACAGGAUUAGAUACCCUAGUAGUC